GAUGGACGCUGGCGGCGUGCCUAAUACAUGCAAGUCGAGCGAACAGACGAGGAGCUUGCUCCUCUGACGUUAGCGGCGGACGGGUGAGUAACACGUGGAUAACCUACCCAUCAGACUGGGAUAACUUCGGGAAACCGGAGCUAAUACCGGAUAAUAUAUUGAACCGCAUGGUUCAAUAGUGAAAGACGGUUUUGCUGUCACUUAUAGAUGGAUCCGCGCCGCAUUAGCUAGUUGGUAAGGUAACGGCUUACCAAGGCGACGAUGCGUAGCCGACCUGAGAGGGUGAUCGGCCACACUGGAACUGAGACACGGUCCAGACUCCUACGGGGGGCAGCAGUAGGGAAUCUUCCGCAAUGGGCGAAAGCCUGACGGAGCAACGCCGCGUGAGUGAUGAAGGUCUUCGGAUCGUAAAACUCUGUUAUUAGGGAAGAACAAAUGUGUAAGUAACUAUGCACGUCUUGACGGUACCUAAUCAGAAAGCCACGGCUAACUACGUG
RNAcentral lists this ribosomal RNA (497 nucleotides) under uncultured bacterium. Its description in RNAcentral is "partial 16S ribosomal RNA". It matches the Rfam family "Bacterial small subunit ribosomal RNA", at positions 28 to 507 of the family's 1533-position model. The record is from RNAcentral.